UACGGUGGGUGCAAGCGUUAUCCGGAUUCACUGGGUUUAAAGGGUGCGUAGGCGGACUGGUAAGUCCGUGGUGAAAUCCCCGAGCUUAACUUGGUAACUGCCAUGGAUACUAUUAGUCUUGAAUGUCGUGGAGGGUUGCUGAAUAUGUCAUGUAGCGGUGAAAUGCUUAGAUAUGACAUAGAACACCAAUUGCGAAGGCAGCAGGCUACACGAUUAUUGACGCUGAGGUACGACAGCGUGGGGAUCAAACAGC
Molecule: ribosomal RNA, 253 nt
Filed under: uncultured bacterium
Lineage: Bacteria
Description: partial 16S ribosomal RNA
Rfam family: Bacterial small subunit ribosomal RNA
Source: RNAcentral